This 783-nucleotide small RNA is filed under the name Lactarius rufus. RNAcentral describes it as "eukaryotic LSU rRNA". The stretch from base 225 to 378 matches the Rfam family "5.8S ribosomal RNA". Lineage: Eukaryota; Fungi; Basidiomycota; Agaricomycetes; Russulales; Russulaceae. The record is from RNAcentral.
CAUUAUCGUACAAAAUGUGAGAGGGGCAUGCGAGGGCUGUCGCUGACUCAAAGUCGUGCACGCCCGAGUGUGUCGCCUCACAUAAUAAUCCAUCUCACCCUUUGUGCAUCACCGCGUGGGCACCCCUUUGGGAUCAUCUCGGAGGGGGCUCGCGUUUUCACACAAAACCCCCCUUUUAAAAGUGUAGAAUGACCUCAUUUAUGCGCGUAACCCGCAAUCAAUACAACUUUCAACAACGGAUCUCUUGGCUCUCGCAUCGAUGAAGAACGCAGCGAAAUGCGAUACGUAAUGUGAAUUGCAGAAUUCAGUGAAUCAUCUAAUCUUUGAACGCACCUUGCGCCCCCUGGUAUUCCGAGGGGCACACCCGUUUGAGUGUCGUGAAAACCUCAACCUCCUUGGUUUCGUCUGGAGACCAAAGCAGGCUUGGACUUUGGAGGCCUUUGCUGGCACCUCUCGCCAGCUCCUCUUGAUGAAUUAGCAGGGUCCUCUUUGCUGAUCCUCGACGUGUGAUAAGAUGUAUCCAUGUCUUGGUUUCUGGCUCUGUCACCUUUGGGACCCGCUUCUAACCGUCUUCGACCUUGCGUUGAGACAACGUUCGAGCAUGUCUCCCUUCUCGGAAGCUCACUCGACCCACGAACCCUGACCUCAAUCGGUGAGCUGACCGCUGAAUUAAGCUAUCAUAGCGGAGGAAAGAACUAGCAGGAUCCCCUAGUACUGCAAUGAAGCGGAAAAGCUCAAUUUAAAUCUGGCGUCUUGCCGUCCGAUUGAAUUAAAAACGUCUCC